GAUUAACGCUGGCGGCAUGCCUAAGACAUGCAAGUCGAACGGAGCGCCCCACUGACUCUGGAUGAAGUUGAAGAGCUUGCUCGGAAAUGGAUGAAGGAUGAUGUGGAUUCUGCGCUCAGUGGCGAACGGGUGAGUAACACGUGGGUAAUCUGGCCUGUAAGUUGGGGAUAACAGUUAGAAAUGACUGCUAAUACCGAAUGUGCUAGAAAUAGUAAAAGGCGCUUCAAAGCGUCGCUUAUAGAUGAGCCUGCGGUGUAUUAGGCUAGUUGGUGGGGUAAUGGCCUACCAAGGCAACGAUGCAUAGCCGGACUGAGAGGUUGAACGGCCACACUGGGACUGAGACACGGCCAGACUCCUACGGGAGACAGCAGUUAGGAAUAUUCGGCAAUGGGGGAAACCCUGACCGAGCAAUGCCGACGUGUGGGAUGAC
This 430-nucleotide ribosomal RNA is filed under the name uncultured bacterium. RNAcentral's name for it is "bacterial SSU rRNA". It matches the Rfam family "Bacterial small subunit ribosomal RNA", at positions 28 to 412 of the family's 1533-position model. The record is from RNAcentral.